RNAcentral lists this transfer RNA (61 nucleotides) under uncultured Prevotella sp. It matches the Rfam family "tRNA", at positions 7 to 62 of the family's 71-position model. Rfam says of the family: Transfer RNA (tRNA) molecules are approximately 80 nucleotides in length. Their secondary structure includes four short double-helical elements and three loops (D, anti-codon, and T loops). Lineage: Bacteria; Pseudomonadati; Bacteroidota; Bacteroidia; Bacteroidales; Prevotellaceae. The record is from RNAcentral.
CCGUAGCUCAGUUGGAUAGAGCAACAGAUUUCUAAUCUGUGGGUCUUGGGUUCGAAUCCCA